UCCGUUCCCAGACCUGCACCCCCUCGAUUCCGUCCCUAAUCCACCACCCCCUCGAUCGGCGGCUACCCUCCCCGAAUGAGGCCACCACCGUCGCCUCCCUCCCAAAUCGCGCCACCACCGCCGCCCCGCCCCACGACGCGCAGCACCCGGCCUCCCAGCGAGCCGCCGCCCCGCCCCCCGGCGCACCGCCUCCGUUCCUCCCACCGUGCUGCCGCCUUGCCCCAUGGCGCCCAGCCGCUCCGCCCUCCACCGCCUGAUCUCCGCCGCCCACCGGACCUGACAAGAGGCUCCACCCUUGGCCACGGAUAGGGGCUGCGGCCUUCUCGGGGCGCCGCCGUGACCUUCCCAGAGGGGCCACCACGACCUUCCCCAGCUCUGCCCUCCGCUACGGCUGCCGUCGGCGGCCUUCUAUCCAUGCUGGAGCUGCCCCCCGCCUGGAUCCGGCCUCGCACAGCCCCCUCGCCUGGAUUUGGUCCCGGCGCCGCCCCACUCCUGGGUCCGGCUGCCGUGCCAACCCCGCACCUGGGUCUGGCCGCCGCAGUGCACUCGCCCCACUCCUAGGUCCGACAGCCGCGCCGCCCCCGCGCCUGGGUCCAACCAUCAGCACCCCCACCCCUUGGCACACAAGCGCCGACAUCUACCCCAAUCCCCAAGCACACCGCCCAAAGGGCCCAUGCCCCAUCCCCCGACACUAUCCUGCCUCGCUGGCGCACCAUGGACGUCUUCCUCUUCUGCCUAGAACUUCUUCAUCCUUGGUGCUUGCGUGCACAUGACAGCCACAUGUGGUGUGAGGAGAAGCCAAGCUAAAAGAAGAACACACUUUCUUAGACGUGUGUGCACGCAAGACAGGCACAGAGAAGUUCGGAGCCGCCGACCCCAACAGCGGAACAACAGCUAUGAUCGAGUAAUCCUGACCGCUCCUUCUGAAUAACGGAGUUGACUUAUCAGCAGAAAGUCUUGAACAAUAUGACCAUCUCUGCUUCUGAAAACGUUGUUAACUUCACUCCCCAUCCAUCUAGUUAGCGCAAAGGUUUUCUCUGCUGCAAGAGCAAGGAUGGAGGCCUCGAAGGACCAUCAUUUUCUGUAGCUGGGAUGCGGAAGAGUACGGAUUGACAGGAUCAACUGAAUGGGUUGAAGAAAACAGGUUGCAUAUCUGAAUAUUGAUGUUUCAGAGUCGGUCCAGUUUUACUCCCAUAUACAACUCCCCAACUUGAUGAACUACUACUGGAAUCAAUUAAACUGGAAAGAGUACUAACUGAUAGUCAGUUAUUUGGUUUUGGUCAUACAAAAGAGUAGCUGUUGAGUGGUCAACACUCUACAGUGGGUGCGUCAACUUUGAACCACCUGUCUCUGACAAUAUCAUGCUUAUGCUAUUUUUCUUAUUAAUAACAAGAUGGUCAAAAAGUCAAAACAUUCUCUUUUUUCAAUUCAUGAAGGUUCAAGACCCCGACAAUUCAUCUCAGACGGCUUAUGAUUCAUGGGUUAAAUCCAAUGCUUCUCCCAACUUGAGUUGUAAAAUGACUUCCUUAUACAGUUAGCACACUGUUAUCAAUUGCGAUAUAUAGUACUGAUUGCUGUCAAACUCUGGGUUCCUUUGUGCGUAAAAUGAAGCCUGCAGCUUCAGGGUUUCAUGUCUGAAUCUUCAUUUCUAAAUUUCAGCUCCAACUCUGAAAAUGUUCCUAGCUAUUUACUGUAGUUAACAUAUAUUGUCUCUGAUAUCCUGCAUGAAGAUUCAAUGACUGGGCAAUGGAGGAUCAGACUAUGCAGCAUUCGUUCAACAUGUUGGCAUUCCAUCCACCAACUUGAUAUUUGGAGAAGGGCCAAGAUAUCUUGUUUACCACUCUUUAUACGAUGAUUUUGUAAGGGUGGAGAAGUUCGCGGACCCUGGGUUCUGUAGGCAUGUCGCAGCUGCUAGCCGCUGCAGCAUCAACGACAACAGCGCGGCGCUCCUGGUGCUCCUCUCCCUCUACUGCCUUGCAUGCUACAAUUCCACCGCCUCCUCACUGUACAGAAAAUUUGAGUGAGGAAAAAUUCCAGCUCAUGAACGAACAUGAAGAAGUUCUAAUGUGAUGGUGCUAUUCCCUGUAGUUAUUUGUUUCUCGUGAUUGCAUUUGGUUGUGGCUGAUGGAUCUCUAUCUUAAUAUAUUAUUUGCUUUAUUCUA
Long non-coding RNA from Triticum dicoccoides, 2162 nucleotides. RefSeq lists it as uncharacterized. The transcript is spliced from 5 exons. The record is from RefSeq and is a predicted model, not a curated record. NCBI's taxonomy places the organism in Eukaryota, Viridiplantae, Streptophyta, Magnoliopsida, Poales, Poaceae.